Molecule: ribosomal RNA, 292 nt
Filed under: uncultured bacterium
Lineage: Bacteria
Description: partial 16S ribosomal RNA
Source: RNAcentral
GGACUACAGGGGUUUCUAAUCCCGUUCGCUACCCACGCUUUCGUGCUUGAGUGUCAGGAACGCGCCAGUGAAUUGCCUUCGCUUUCGGUGUUCCCCAUGAUAUCAACGGAUUUCACCCCUACACCAUGAGUUCCAUUCACCUCUCACGCCCUCGAGUCAUACCGUUUCGCCCGCACUUCCCCGGUUGAGCCAGGGUAUUUAACGGACGACUAAUAUGACCACCUACGCACUCUUUACGCCCAAUAAUUCCGGGUAAUGCUCGGGGCCUCUGUAUUACCGCGGCUGCUGGCAC